AACGAACGCUGGCGGCAUGCCUAACACAUGCAAGUCGAACGAGACCUUCGGGUCUAGUGGCGCACGGGUGCGUAACGCGUGGGAACCUGCCCUUAGGUUCGGAAUAACUCCCCGAAAGGGGUGCUAAUACCGGAUAAUGUCUUCGGACCAAAGAUUUAUCGCCUUUGGAUGGGCCCGCGUUGGAUUAGCUAGUUGGUAGGGUAAAAGCCUACCAAGGCGACGAUCCAUAGCUGGUCUGAGAGGAUGAUCAGCCACACUGGGACUGAGACACGGCCCAGACUUCUACGGGAGGCAGCAGUUGGGAAUAUUGGACAAUGGGCGAAAGGCUGAUCCAGCAAUGCCGCGUGAGUGAUGAAGGCCUUAGGGUUGUAAAGCUCUUUUACCCGGGAUGAUAAUGACAGUACCGGGAGAAUAAGCUCCGGCUAACUCCGUG
RNAcentral lists this ribosomal RNA (433 nucleotides) under uncultured bacterium. RNAcentral describes it as "partial 16S ribosomal RNA". It matches the Rfam family "Bacterial small subunit ribosomal RNA", at positions 29 to 507 of the family's 1533-position model. The record is from RNAcentral.